GAGGAAUAUUGGUCAAUGGGCGAGAGCCUGAACCAGCCAAGUAGCGUGAAGGAUGACUGCCCUAUGGGUUGUAAACUUCUUUUAUAAAGGAAUAAAGUCGGGUAUGCAUACCCGUUUGCAUGUACUUUAUGAAUAAGGAUCGGCUAACUCCGUGCCAGCAGCCGCGGUAAUACGGAGGAUCCGAGCGUUAUCCGGAUUUAUUGGGUUUAAAGGGAGCGUAGAUGGAUGUUUAAGUCAGUUGUGAAAGUUUGCGGCUCAACCGUAAAGUUGCAGUUGAUACUGGAUAUCUUGAGUGCAGUUGAGGCAGGCGGAAUUCGUGGUGUAGCGGUGAAAUGCUUAGAUAUCACGAAGAACUCCGAUUGCGAAGGCAGCCUGCUAAGCUGCAACUGACAUUGAGGCUCGAAAGUGUGGGUAUCAAACAGGAUUAGAUACCCUGGUAGUCCACACGGUAAACGAUGAAUACUCGCUGUUUGCGAUAUACGGCAAGCGGCCAAGCGAAAGCGUUAAGUAUUCCACCUGGGGAGUACGCCGGCAACGGUGAAACUCAAAGGAAUUGACGGGGGCCCGCACAAGCGGAGGAACAUGUGGUUUAAUUCGAUGAUACGCGAGGAACCUUACCCGGGCUUAAAUUGCAGAUGAAUUACGGUGAAAGCCGUAAGCCGCAAGGCAUCUGUGAAGGUGCUGCAUGGUUGUCGUCAGCUCGUGCCGUGAGGUGUCGGCUUAAGUGCCAUAACGAGCGCAACCCUUGUUGUCAGUUACUAACAGGUUCCGCUGAGGACUCUGACAAGACUGCCAUCGUAAGAUGUGAGGAAGGUGGGGAUGACGUCAAAUCAGCACGGCCCUUACGUCCGGGGCUACACACGUGUUACAAUGGGGGGUACAGAGGGCCGCUACCACGCGAGUGGAUGCCAAUCCCAAAAACCUCUCUCAGUUCGGACUGGAGUCUGCAACCCGACUCCACGAAGCUGGAUUCGCUAGUAAUCGCGCAUCAGCCACGGCGCGGUGAAUACGUUCCCG
This 1017-nucleotide ribosomal RNA is filed under the name uncultured organism. Its description in RNAcentral is "bacterial SSU rRNA". It matches the Rfam family "Bacterial small subunit ribosomal RNA", at positions 356 to 1376 of the family's 1533-position model. The record is from RNAcentral.